This 498-nucleotide ribosomal RNA is filed under the name uncultured bacterium. RNAcentral describes it as "partial 16S ribosomal RNA". It matches the Rfam family "Bacterial small subunit ribosomal RNA", at positions 28 to 508 of the family's 1533-position model. The record is from RNAcentral.
GACGAACGCUGGCGGCGUGCCUAAUACAUGCAAGUUGAGCGCUGAAGGUUGGUACUUGUACCAACUGGAUGAGCAGCGAACGGGUGAGUAACGCGUGGGGAAUCUGCCUUUGAGCGGGGGACAACAUUUGGAAACGAAUGCUAAUACCGCAUAAAAACUUUAAACACAAGUUUUAAGUUUGAAAGAUGCAAUUGCAUCACUCAAAGAUGAUCCCGCGUUGUAUUAGCUAGUUGGUGAGGUAAAGGCUCACCAAGGCGAUGAUACGUAGCCGACCUGAGAGGGAGAUCGGCCACAUGGGGACUGAGACACGGCCCAAACUCCUAAGGGAGGAAGCAGUAGGGAAUCUUCGGUAAUGGACGAAAGUCUGACCGAGCAACGCCGCGUGAGUGAAGAAGGUUUUCGGAUCGUAAAACUCUGUUGGUAGAGAAGAACGUUGGUGAGAGUGGAAAGCUCAUCAAGUGACGGUAACUACCCAGAAAGGGACGGCUAACUACGUGC